GCCGGAAUGGCGGAAGUGGCAGACGCAGCAGACUUAAAAUCUGCUGGAGCGGUAUCGCUCCGUGCGGGUUCGAAUCCCGCUUCCGGCA
This 88-nucleotide transfer RNA is filed under the name Bacteroidetes bacterium QS_7_67_15. Its description in RNAcentral is "tRNA-Leu". It matches the Rfam family "tRNA". Rfam says of the family: Transfer RNA (tRNA) molecules are approximately 80 nucleotides in length. Their secondary structure includes four short double-helical elements and three loops (D, anti-codon, and T loops). The record is from RNAcentral. Lineage: Bacteria; Pseudomonadati; Bacteroidota.